AGAUGAAAAUGGAGGACGUAAAACCUACCGAUCAUCUAUCGAAGUUGUAGAAUCUGGCAUAUUACACCGUUUCGAAAUUUCGAGUGCCAUUUUUAUCGAUCCUGUUCGUGUACUCAAUCGAUCGUAUACCAGUCUUAGGGUUUCUCCGUCUACCUACUACUCCCGUUUAUUCGAAUCUAAACAUGCUGAUCAAGCAAGCACAGUCUCUUCAGAUAAAAUUUCUAGGAAGCAAAAACGUAAGCGGAGAAAACCUCACAUCCUGAACGAAAGAGACAAGUCGCUGAUCAACGCCACCAGGUGAGAGCAGAUGGAUCGCUGAUUAGUGAUUUAGACCUAUUCUUUCAUCAUAGGCCUUACGAACGCAUUAUUUUGGGCUACUGUGAUGGUGUGGUGAGCUUCUGUGGUGUGGAGAUAAAUUGAGUUGCUCAAUUCCUCUUAGUUCUAGUUUCUUCUAGCUUUGAAGGUAUUUGUUUGUUGAUUAUGCUGGUGGAUGGUGACCUUUUGUUUGGCAUGAACUCUGAACGCCUGUCAAAGGUUAGACCAAUAAAGGAUAGGCAAGUCAUUAUAAGCAUUCCAGGAGAUUACUCAAGGAAGCCUUCGAUUGGAGGUAUUCUUUCUGGUGCUUAAUGCAAUUUAUAAUGUUAAGCAAGCAAUAGCUUACUUUACUAUUCUCCUUGCAUAAUCACAUACGCACAACUCACAAUUACAAACUAGUUGGUUCAACAACUCAUUUACUACCCUUAAUGGGUCUCUAUUGGAAUUGAGGAAUUAUGUUGUUCUUGUUUA
Tripterygium wilfordii is the source of this 786-nucleotide long non-coding RNA. RefSeq lists it as uncharacterized. The transcript is spliced from 2 exons. Lineage: Eukaryota; Viridiplantae; Streptophyta; Magnoliopsida; Celastrales; Celastraceae. The record is from RefSeq and is a predicted model, not a curated record.